This 253-nucleotide ribosomal RNA is filed under the name uncultured bacterium. RNAcentral's name for it is "partial 16S ribosomal RNA". It matches the Rfam family "Bacterial small subunit ribosomal RNA", at positions 524 to 776 of the family's 1533-position model. The record is from RNAcentral.
UACGUAGGGUGCGAGCGUUAAUCGGAAUUACUGGGCGUAAAGCGUGCGCAGGCGGUCCGCAAAGUCUGAUGUGAAAGCCCCGGGCUCAACCUGGGAACUGCAUUGGAAACUAACGGGCUCGAGUGUGGCAGAGGGGGGUGGAAUUCCACGUGUAGCGGUGAAAUGCGUAGAGAUGUGGAGGAACACCGAUGGCGAAGGCAGCCCCCUGGGCUAACACUGACGCUCAGGCACGAAAGCGUGGGGAGCAAACAGG